Molecule: non-coding RNA, 100 nt
Filed under: uncultured Enterocloster sp.
Lineage: Bacteria; Bacillati; Bacillota; Clostridia; Lachnospirales; Lachnospiraceae
Description: THF riboswitch
Rfam family: THF (Tetrahydrofolate) riboswitch aptamer
About the family: THF riboswitch presents a pseudoknot that joins P1-P2 and the loop of P3 and two THF binding.
Source: RNAcentral
GCAGAGUAGGCUUGCGCGCGUUAAGUGCCGGGCGGACAGGGAGUUGCCGUCUGGACGAAAGGGGAUAUGCCCCUGCGGUGCGCAGGCCGCAUCCCGCUGC